Molecule: transfer RNA, 77 nt
Filed under: Streptococcus agalactiae
Lineage: Bacteria; Bacillati; Bacillota; Bacilli; Lactobacillales; Streptococcaceae
Description: tRNA-Ile
Rfam family: tRNA
About the family: Transfer RNA (tRNA) molecules are approximately 80 nucleotides in length. Their secondary structure includes four short double-helical elements and three loops (D, anti-codon, and T loops).
Source: RNAcentral
GGGCGUGUAGCUCAGGUGGUUAGAGCGCACGCCUGAUAAGCGUCAGGUCGGUGGUUCGAGUCCAUUCGUGCCCAUCA